GUUUCCUCCCCUUUAUUAAGAAUCUCCAUCAUUUCUUUGUUAUCAUAUUCAAAUUCAAUCUCCUUAUAUCUCUUAUCAAUUGUUCGUUUAAUCGCAAGUUUCAUCGUCAUCGUUUCAACGGCUAACAGAGCAUUCUCUCAUUGCGUGUAUCGUCUGUAUUCCUCUAAGCUGACAUCGUCUUCUAUAUAGAAAAUUGCACAUAGACCCCAAAAUCCUUUUGUUUUAGGCUUGCAUCGAUGUUGCAUCUAACUCUGGAUUGUUGGUUCAGGUUUUUCAACCUUCUGAGUCCUUCUCGUAUUAGUCUUAUUUUCUGGCAAAUGCAUACCUUUACUUAGCUUCGUAUGGAUAUAGGUUUGGUUAUUAAUAUCGUGAUGUUGUUAUUAAUCAUCAUUCUCUUUUGUUUUAUCCUGUUGAGUACCUGUGAUGUUCUUCCGAUGACUGUUCUUUAUGUUUAGGUUCAGAUUACCUUUUUCAUUUUUAAGGUAUGUAUAACCGCAUGUUAGUAUUAUUGUUUUUUCUUGUUUUUUCUGGUGAAGUCUUUGAGCCUUUUAACACUAUAGUGGUCCUUCCCAAGUUUA
This is a long non-coding RNA of Lathyrus oleraceus (garden pea), 578 nucleotides long. RefSeq lists it as uncharacterized. The record is from RefSeq and is a predicted model, not a curated record. The transcript has 2 exons. Lineage: Eukaryota; Viridiplantae; Streptophyta; Magnoliopsida; Fabales; Fabaceae.